RNAcentral lists this ribosomal RNA (1431 nucleotides) under uncultured bacterium. Its description in RNAcentral is "bacterial SSU rRNA". It matches the Rfam family "Bacterial small subunit ribosomal RNA". The record is from RNAcentral.
AGUGAACGCUAGUAGUAUGCUUUACACAUGCGAGUUGUACGAUUUAUUUCGUGGCGGACGGGUGAGGAAAUACAGAAUUUUUGCCUUCCAGUUUAAGAAUAUUACGUACUCAAAAAUUUGAAGAACACUGAAAACGACGUGACGUAAAAACCAAAUUAAAAAAUUAUAACAAAUAAUUGCUAGAAGAUAAAUCUGUAGAAGAUUAGGUAGUUGGUAACUUAACAGCUUACCAAGCCUGUGAUCUUUAGUUGGUCUUAGAGGACGAUCAACCACACUGGAACUGAGAUAAGGUCCAGGCAAAACUAUAACUGCCAGCAGUGAGGAAUAUUGGACAAUGAACGAAAGUUUGAUCCAGCAAUUCUAUUUGAAUGAUGACGGCUCACUUAGCUGUAAAGUUCUUUCAUUAACGAUGAUAAUGACAUUAGUUAAAGAAGCUAAAAGUCCCGGCAAAUCUCGUGCCAGCAGCCGCGGUAAUACGGGAGGGGCAAGCGUUACUCGGAAUAACUGGGCGUAAAGAGUUCGUAGACGGUGCUACAAGUUAUUUGUUAAUUCUUAGAGCUCAACUCUAUGGGAACAAAUAAUACUAUAUCACUUGAGUUUCGUUCAGAAGAGUAGAAUUCCACAUUGAGUGGUGAAACUCGUAGACAUGUGAAGGAAUACCAUUAAAAGCGAAGGCGACUCUUUGGUAAAAACUGACGUUGAGGAACGAAAGUAUGGGGAGCAAACAGGAUUAGAUACCCUGGUAGUCUAUACUGUAAAUCCUGUGUGCUGUAAUUUAACUGUUUUAUUAGUUGGAUUUUUUUAAGCUAACGCCAUAAGCACUCCGCCUGAGGAGUAUGAUCGCAAGAUUGGAACUCAAAGGAAUUGACGGGGGCCUACGACUAGUGGUGGAGCAUGUGGUUUAAUGCGAUAAUCCGCGCAAAACCUUACCAAUUUUUGAAUAUUGUUUUAAAAUUAUACUAUUGACAGAAUAAUAGAAUAAUCCCUAACUUUACAGGUGUUGCACGACUGUCGUCAGUUCGUGUCGUGAGAUGUUUGGUUAAUUCCUUUAACGAGCGCAACUCUUAUCUUUAAAAAGCUAUGAAUUUUAAUUUAAAAUAUUUUAAAAGAUACUGCUAAUGAUAAAUUUGAGGAAGGUAAGAAUUAAGUCAAGUCAAUGUGGCCCUUAUAAAUUGGGCUACACACGUGCUACAAUGAAAAUCACAAAGAGUAACAAAAAUGCCAAUUUGAGUUAAUCUCCUAAAAAUUUUCUUAGUUCGGAUUGUAAUCUGCAACUCGAUUACAUAAAGAUGGAAUCACUAGUAAUCGCAAAUCAGCAUGUUGCGGUGAAUACGUUACUUGGCCUUGUACACACCGCCCGUCACAUGCAAAGAAUUAAUUUCGUUUGAAGAUUUAUUAUUUGAGUCGAUUAUGAAAUCAGUGAUUUGGAUG